Molecule: ribosomal RNA, 497 nt
Filed under: uncultured bacterium
Lineage: Bacteria
Description: partial 16S ribosomal RNA
Rfam family: Bacterial small subunit ribosomal RNA
Source: RNAcentral
GAUGAACGCUGGCGGCGUGCCUAAUACAUGCAAGUCGAGCGAACAGACGAGGAGCUUGCUCCUCUGACGUUAGCGGCGGACGGGUGAGUAACACGUGGAUAACCUACCUAUAAGACUGGGAUAACUUCGGGAAACCGGAGCUAAUACCGGAUAAUAUAUUGAACCGCAUGGUUCAAUAGUGAAAGACGGUUUUGCUGUCACUUAUAGAUGGGUCCGCGCCGCAUUAGCUAGUUGGUAAGGUAACGGCUUACCAAGGCAACGAUGCGUAGCCGACCUGAGAGGGUGAUCGGCCACACUGGAAGUGAGACACGGUCCAGACUCCUACGGGAGGCAGCAGUAGGGAAUCUUCCGCAAUGGGCGAAAGCCGGACGGAGCAACGCCGCGUGAGUGAUGAAGGUCUUCGGAUCGUAAAACUCUGUUAUUAGGGAAGAACAAAUGUGUAAGUAACUAUGCACGUCUUGACGGUACCUAAUCAGAAAGCCACGGCUAACUACGUG